RNAcentral lists this ribosomal RNA (436 nucleotides) under uncultured bacterium. RNAcentral describes it as "bacterial SSU rRNA". It matches the Rfam family "Bacterial small subunit ribosomal RNA", at positions 958 to 1387 of the family's 1533-position model. The record is from RNAcentral.
AACGCGAAGAACCUUACCUGGGCUAGACAACGGCGGACCGCCUGAGAAAUCAGGCUUUCCCUUCGGGGCACUUUCACAGGUGGUGCAUGGCUGUCGUCAGCUCGUGUCGUGAGAUGUUGGGUUAAGUCCCGCAACGAGCGCAACCCCCGUCGCAUGUUGCCAGCAUUUAGUUGGGGACUCAUGCGAGACUGCCGGUGACAAACCGGAGGAAGGUGGGGAUGACGUCAAGUCCUCAUGCCCCUUAUGUUCAGGGCUACACACGUGCUACAUUGGCGCAUACAGAGGGCUGCGAUACCGCGAGGUGGAGCGAAUCCCUUAAAGUGCGUCUCGGUUCGGAUUGCAGGCUGAAAUUCGCCUGCAUGAAGGCGGAGUUGCUAGUAAUCGCGGAUCAGCAUUGCCGCGGUGAGUACGUUCCCGGGCCUUUCACACCGGCUAC